Molecule: long non-coding RNA, 1299 nt
Filed under: Coturnix japonica (Japanese quail)
Lineage: Eukaryota; Metazoa; Chordata; Aves; Galliformes; Phasianidae
Description: lncRNA (ENSCJPG00005007585.1)
Source: RNAcentral
AUGGCACACGAUGUCCUGAGUGUGACCUGGGAGCAGCUGGGCUGUGUGAACCUGCUCCUCCUGCCAUUCUGCAGCUGGGAGGAGCAGCGAUCUCCUUCGUGCUCGGGGAGAGGUGUACUGUCAGAUCCUUGGCACUUAUAUGUGGGCUGUGAUCUGCUUCCUCUGCCCAUAAUGCCUCCUGGGGGCACCUUCUCUGCAGGUGAGAGCAGCCCUGGAGUUGCAGAGGGUCGGGGCUUCUUGGGCAGAGCCAUCCCUGCCUCCUCGUGCAGGCUGAGCUGCUCCCAGCCAGAGUUCGCUGCUGUGGCCGCUCCCAGGAGGAGCUGGCUGUUGUCCUGUGGGUCAGAUCACUUCCACGUGGACCAACCACUCCAGUGUCAGUGUCCGUCUGCACUGAACGCAGCCCCUGGGUCACAGGGGGAGGAUGUUCAAGUGUCCCGGCUCAUCCAGCCCAGGGCCCGGCAGGAGCAGCGUGCGGGCAGCCGGACGCGCAGGGGAACCUGUGCGAGCUGUGCACGCUGCGCUGGCGCCGUCCGUCUUUCCCUCCCCAUCCCUCCCCCAGCUGGUCCGUCAGCCCGGAGCGCCGCGCUCCCACGCACAGCGCGUCCCUGGGGACCCGACAGGCCCUUCCCCGCUGCCCGGCUCCCUCCCCGUCCUCGGCAGCUGGCGGCCAAGAGCUGCGCUCAGAACGAGCCGGGGGAGCAGCUCGGGCUGUCCUCGCUUUCCUGGAAGAGCCGCGCUCCGCUCCAGCUCAGCGCGCUGCCAGCGGCCGCGGGAGGCGGGGAGCGGCGCUGUGCGGGGCUGUGCGGGGCUGUGCGGGGCUGUGCGGGGCUGUGCGCUGCUCGGAGCUGUGCGGGGCUGUGCGGGGCUGUGCGGAGCUGUACGGGGCUGUGCGGGGCUGUGCGGGGCUGUGCGGUGCCCUGGGGCUGUGCGGGGCUGUGCGGUGCCCGCUCCGGCGGCAGGAAUGCGAGCAGCGGCCGCGCUGUGCCCUGCCCUGGUGCUUUAGGAGAUGAAAGGAGCACAGUUCCUGGGGGGGCUGUGGCGGAGGGCGGCUCUGAGCCCUGCGGCCCGAGACAGAACAGGGCUCCUUUCACGCUCCCUCUGGCCUCGCCGCUGGAAUUUGUUCGCCGGCACAACCCGCCGCGGGAGGGGCUGCGGCGCAGGGGAAAUAGCUGGGACGUUUCUCGCAUAGCUGCUCCAGCAGCGCUGACCGCAGCGCUUUCCAGGGCCGCAGCCAGGACCUGCCCUGCUGCGCUCUGCAGACAGAGCUUCUGUCCGAGUGAUGAGCGCUGCGGGAUCUGA